This 513-nucleotide ribosomal RNA is filed under the name uncultured bacterium. Its description in RNAcentral is "bacterial SSU rRNA". It matches the Rfam family "Bacterial small subunit ribosomal RNA", at positions 8 to 525 of the family's 1533-position model. The record is from RNAcentral.
AGAGUUUGAUCCUGGCUCAGGAUGAACGCUGGCGGCGUGCCUAACACAUGCAAGUCGAGCGGAGACCUGUGAAGUAGUAAUACGGAACAGAUCUUAGCGGCGGACGGGUGAGUAACACGUGAGUAAUCUGCCUUUUGCUGGGGAAUAACAUUGUGAAAACAGUGCUAAUACCGCAUGACAUCCGACUGGGGCAUCCCGGACGGAUCAAAGGAGAAAUCCGGCAAAAGAUGAACUCGCGUCCGAUUAGCUAGUUGGUGAGGUAGUGGCUCACCAAGGCGACGAUCGGUAGCCGAACUGAGAGGUUGAUCGGCCACAUUGGGACUGAGACACGGCCCAGACUCCUACGGGAGGCAGCAGUGGGGAAUAUUGGGCAAUGGGCGAAAGCCUGACCCAGCAACGCCGCGUGAAGGACGAAGGCCUUCGGGUUGUAAACUUCUUUGAUCAGGGACGAAAAAAAUGACGGUACCUGAAGAACAAGCCACGGCUAACUACGUGCCAGCAGCCGCGGUAAUA